This 506-nucleotide ribosomal RNA is filed under the name uncultured bacterium. Its description in RNAcentral is "bacterial SSU rRNA". It matches the Rfam family "Bacterial small subunit ribosomal RNA", at positions 28 to 526 of the family's 1533-position model. The record is from RNAcentral.
GACGAACGCUGGCGGCGUGGAUUAGGCAUGCAAGUCGAACGGUAUCAUCCUUUCGGGGGUGAGAGAGUGGCGAACUGGUGAGUAACACGUAGGUUAUCUACCCUCAAGACGGGGACAACCCAGGGAAACUUGGGCUAAUACCGGAUGUGAGCAACUUUUAGUUGUUUGAAAGGUGGCGUAAGCUGUCGCUUGGGGAUGAGCCUGCGUCCUAUUAGUUAGUUGGUGAGGUAACGGCUCACCUAGGCAAUGAUAGGUAGGCGGCCUUAACGGGUGGUCGCCCACACUGGGAUUGAGAUACGGCCCAGACUCCUACGGGAGGCAGCAGUCGAGAAUAGUCUACAAUGGUCGGAAGACUGAUAGUGCGACGCCGCGCGAACGAUGAAUCCCUUCGGGGUGUAAAGUUCUUUUAUAUGUGAGCAGUGCUUCUUAUAUUAACAGUAUGGGGAGAGAGAUAUUAGCAUAUGAAUAAGCAACGGCUAACUCCGUGCCAGCAGCCGCGGUAAGCU